CCUACGGGUGGCAGCAGUGGGGAAUCUUCCGCAAUGGGCGCAAGCCUGACGGAGCAAUGCCGCGUGCACGAAGAAGGUCUUCUGAUUGUAAAGUUCUGUCCUUAUCGAAGAGAGAGUAUGUAGUUAAAAAUGCUCUACUAGGACGUUAGAUGAAGAGGACGCCCCGGCUACCUACUGGCCAGCAGCCGCGUGAAUACGGAGGGGGCGAUCGUUGUCCGGAUUCACUGGGCGGAAAGGGCGCGUAGGCGGUAAUAUAAGUUAGAUGUGAACGGUGGGGGCUCAACCCCUAGAGUGCAACUGAUACUGGAGAACUUGAGUGUGAGAGAGGGAAGCGGAAUUCCUAGUGUAGCGGUGAAAUGCGUAGAUAUUAGGAGGAACACCAGUGGCGAAGGCGGCUUGCUGGCUCAUAACUGACGCUGAGGCGCGAAAGCGUGGGGAGCAAACAGGAUUAGAUACCCGAGUAGUC
Molecule: ribosomal RNA, 466 nt
Filed under: uncultured bacterium
Lineage: Bacteria
Description: partial 16S ribosomal RNA
Rfam family: Bacterial small subunit ribosomal RNA
Source: RNAcentral